UUGCUUCCUUCAGCAGCACAUAUACUAAACUUGGAAUGAUACAGAGAAGAUUAGCAUGGCCCUUGUGCAAGGAUGAUACCCAAAUUCAUGUGGCAUUCAAUAUUUUU
Small nuclear RNA from Monodelphis domestica (gray short-tailed opossum), 107 nucleotides. The record is from Ensembl. Lineage: Eukaryota; Metazoa; Chordata; Mammalia; Didelphimorphia; Didelphidae.